Molecule: long non-coding RNA, 6557 nt
Filed under: Capsicum annuum
Lineage: Eukaryota; Viridiplantae; Streptophyta; Magnoliopsida; Solanales; Solanaceae
Description: long non-coding RNA (CANN_LNC009684)
Source: RNAcentral
UGAUCAUGGAACUGAAGUGUAAAGCGGGAGAAGGCCCUGUAAUAACUGAAGGAACUGAAAUAGGAAUGGGUCAAGCAAAACCCCUUUCUCACCACUAUUGGAAUCCAAACACUUAACUCGGUUACUUGAUCUAUCAUCUCCCCCUUAGACAUAAGCCAUCGCUCUGGGUCAGUAACACACUAUACACUUUAAUCUAAACUAAAGUCACUUCACUCGAGAGUCCGAUACAUAAUCACACACAUAAACAAUAAAACUUCACCCAAUUGACUACCUCAGAAUGCAUAUAACCAUAUCCUCACACAACUUCUUGAAUUACCACCUAUCCUUCUAUAACCCCAAUAAUCAACACCUAACACUUGCACACUUUCUAAUCACUAAUCCAUAUAGACAACCCGUAGUCGGAGUAUACACCAUCUAGAGCUUUAACGCUUUCAGCUCAACUUCAGAAUUUCAAUCUUAGAGUCUCAUUCUCAACUCAAAUUUUUCUCAGCCUUAACGAACCACACUACCUCUGUCAUCGCUUAUUAAAAUCAUACUUGUAAACUUAUAUUUCUAAACCAAAAAAUCAAAAUCACAUCUAAGAAGCUCAAUCUUUACAGUCAUACACUAAUCCUUGAAAUUAAAGCAGUCCCGUAAUAUCUUGGGUGAACUUUCUCAUCACAACUAAAACAUCAAACUUAAUCACGAAUCAACCAAACUUAGGCUCUUAUAUCCACUAUUUAAGCCAACUACAUCACUUCCUAACAACUAAUACCAUUAAUCAAGAAAUCAUCAUAGUCACCUUCACGAUCACCAAUCAUUCAAACUUAACUUUUAGCACACAAUAUAAGUUAAAACUUUUUGCACGAAAUUUACGCUUAGAAACUAUAAAACAAUCCUCAACAAGUUCUAUCCCAUUUAAACUUCAUAACAAUAAUAAUUGGUGAUAAUCAUAUAGCUUAUCUCAUUCACAAUCCAUUAACACAUCCAUCUUUCACCCGUCACUACUAUCUAUCCUUCAUACACAACUUAACUUAGUUCAUAGCUCUCUACGUCUUAACUUAACUUCUUCUUGCAACUUGGCAACGGCAUAAUUUAACAACACUCACCCACCGAGUACUUCCAUUACUAACCUAUACUCUCUGGCAUAUAAAUACCGUCAAUACCCAUUUCAUACCUCGAACAAACUACAUCACAAAAUUGACACACAAGGAUAUAUCACUCCCUAUUAAUCCCAAAUGUUUGCUAAAAUGGAUUACGCUAUACUUAUGCUCAACAAAUCACACUUACCAUCCUUCUUACUACUACACCUCCAAAUCCCACAUUUUUAGCCAGCACAAGGAAAAAGAUGAACUACAAGUUACUAGUGGAUCAAAAUAGGCCACACACGGCUCCACUAGGCUUUGAAUAUGAGCUUUGAAAAAAGUUUGAGGUGAAUAACAAAACAGCUGUGCUAGUUAAUCGAAAAAUCCCCACACGGCUUCACAAGACUUUUAUUUUUUUUCAACAGCAUGAUGAUAGCAAGAUUAUGGGAGAUAGGAACUUGAAAUACCAUAUUCAAUGAUCAAGGAGUACGCAUCCACUCAGUCUUAGCUGAACAAGUCAUAAAGAAAAGGACAUAACAUGAAACUUCAGGAACUUAUAACACACUGGGAGGCUCUUAUGAAGCCACUUUUAUGAGACUUCUAAAACAUUUUGCUAAUCAGUCUGAAAAUAUUAUCAGGGAAAGAACCGGGACUUGCUGCUCAUACUAUCUCAAGAAUAGCACAUAGAUAGUAAAGUACAAACUGUCACUUAUAGAUCCUGAAAAGAAAUUUGGUAGAUUAUCAGGUUUAAACUUAUUGCACGAUUCAAGACUUGAAAAAACAGCAACCUUUCCUAAAUUCUUAUAGCCUCUCGAAGAAAACUACAAACGUCUUUGUACCAUUCCGUAAGACUCUACUAGACAUGGCUUCGUAGACACCCUAGGACACUUGAACUCUGUGCUGUGAUACCAAGUUUCUAACGCCCCAAAAAUCUAGUCCCAAGACAACACACGGUGCUUAGGGUCACAAUGACCCCAAGCUAACCCUUUUAUAGGUAUAACUCAAAAGCAGCUGAUUUAAAACAUAAUUCUGAGAGAAUGUAGCUGAAAAUAUCUCAAUAUAGAAUCUAUUAAAUAAAAUAUUGAAAUUACAAGAUGAUAAUUCUACUAAUAUAUAUACAUAUACAAGAAAGAGACUGAAUACAUCAACCACUACUACUGUCUAUGAAGCCUCUACUAGUAUUGCCUGUACAAAAACGGGUCAUGACUCCCAACCAUCCCACUCAAUAUGGCCAACAGAAGAAGAUACAGUGUCUCUGAACNNNNNNNNNNNNNNNNNNNNNNNNNNNNNNNNNNNNNNNNNNNNNNNNNNNNNNNNNNNNNNNNNNNNNNNUAUGUGGGGGUGCAUGCAACACUUUAAAUAACACCAUCAAUUUCAUGAAAACAUGCAUACAGACAAUGAUGACUCACUUGGCUUGAGUUAUAUCAAAUCAUACUCUUCAUACUUUCAUAAUAAAUAGUUCAAAUGGUAAAAUCUCAUAAUCCAUGUAAAUCAUCAAAAAUCAUAAAUUAUGAUAAGUCAUUAUAAAUUAUCAUAUCGUCAAAAUUCAUCAUAGGUAAUCAUAAUUCCUCAUAAUAUCUCAACUCUUUGACUCAAAUCUCGGAGUGACUCGGUAAUUCAAGAAACAUGACUUUUAUAGACAGGGAAGUUUCCUAUAACCGACAACCCCAUGUGAGCUACGUCGAAUACCAAUGUUUGAAACCUCUAUUGGUGGAAGCGUCAUACUCUUUGCCAGGGAGUAUGACCUUAAUACAACAAUAAUCACAAUCGGGCUCUCUGGCCAAUAAUAUCAUCAUCAAAAAACCCUACGGGGGCACAUAGGUUUGGGGAAAUACCAAAUUUCCUUCUCGGUGCUAAGUACUACUCCCCAACAAGCUCAAAACGCGUUACAAAAUCCACCAUCAUCAUCACAAGGGUCUAUCAUAAAGACCAAAAUAAAUAUCUUAAUUUAUAAUUCAUCAACAAUUUGUGGAUUCCUAACCCCAACUUCGACUUAAAAGAUUUCAAUCUUUUUCAACAUCAACAAGGUAUCAAGGCAGGGAACCAUAACCGACUCAACAUUUGGACAAGGAUAUGAAGACUCAAUACGUAAUAUUUUCAACAAUUCAACUAAUCAAAAUCAUUCAGAAAAAAAAAUAAUAAAAUUCAUCUCAACAACUAUAUCAAAAUCAAUCUUUCUCAUAGUCAAAAUCAUCUCGACUCUGCAAGUUCAAGGUCAAUGUACUCAAAUGAUUAUUCUUUCAAUUUGACAAUUAAAUCAUGACAACAGCUUUUGAAAAGCACUUGAGACCUUCAAUACAUAAUAAGAAUACAUAUCCUGUUGUACAACUCAAAUCACGACUUUUUUCUCGAAAGCCUUUAGAAAUAUCAAUUCAUUGUAGUAGUAUGCAAUUCAUAGCAUAAAUUCUCAAUUUAAGAAGUAGAGUAAUGAAGUAAUCAUGUAUAUCCAUAUUGGAAAAAUUUUCAAAGUCUUAUAUAAAUCCUUCAUAAAGUAAUUUGAGUGUAUACCCAUUUUCGAAUAUCAUGAAAUUUCAAUAAUAGAACUCAANNNNNNNNNNNNNNNNNNNNNNNNNNNNNNNNNNNNNNNNNNNNNNNNNNNNNNNNNNNNNNNNNNNNNNNNNNNNNNNNNNNNNNNNNNNNNNNNNNNNNNNNNNNNNNNNNNNNNNNNNNNNNNNNNNNNNNNNNNNNNNNNNNNNNNNNNNNNNNNNNNNNNNNNNNNNNNNNNAAAAUACCAUCUCGACAUACGUCCCAAAAUCAUUCAAAAUACCACCUCGUGGUAAAAGUGUGUAAUUCGCAAUGAUAAUUAUUAAAUCAUAUCAUGAAAACAUUGAGAUAAUCAUAUAAAUCAAAGUUUAUUCAUUCAACCAUCAUAAUCUCAUAAUCGAAUUAUUUAGACGUAAUCUCACUUGCAAACUCAUGUAAAACCAUAAUAAAAUUAAAGCUUUGGGCAUAAGAACGGAAGAUUGCUCUUGUUCAAAACCCCACAUACCUUGAAAUUGAGCUCUUGAUUGUUGAAUCCUGUUCUUACAAAUAAAAGGUGCUCCUCGAAGGUCUCGAGAUGAUGAGUUCGAUUAUCGGAUCAAAUUUGAAUUUCUACGGUGAAAUUGAAAGAUAUUUGGAGCUCAAAAUAGACCUAGGGUUUAGUUCUCUCAAUGUUUUUUAUGGAAGAGCAUGAAUUUUAUGGCUCAAUAUAGGUAUAAAUGGAUAAUUUUAAUCCAUGAAGUGAAGGUAUACUGACCAAAAUUCCCUUAAAAAUUAAAUAAUUCUCGAAUAUGUCCUUUGGUGGACUAUUUUGAUAGUCUAUAGUAAUCAACCAUGACGUUUUACUCUGAUAUCCAAAUUGGAUGAAACCAAUUUCAUUAGAAAGAGAACUCUCAUAUCUUUCUAUUGAUAUAUAUAUAUUAUCUCACCCAUAUCACUGUGUACAUGGAGUUAUGAUUGUUUGAAGUUGACCCAAAAAUUCACUUUUGAUAUGCUGAAGUAGAUCGUCCAUAAAUUUUUGCUCUGAUAGACAAAUUGGAUGAAACCAAUUUCAUUGGAAAGAGGACUCGCAGAGAUUUUCGUUGAUAUAUACUAUAUCACCCAGAUCAUUAUGUACAAGGAGUUACGAUCGUUUAAAGUUGGAGUAAAAAUAUGCCAGGCCUCAAUACUUUUUCCUGCACAUUUUACUGUUCACAGUUCGAUCGGGAUGGUUGUAACUCAUCGCUCGAGUGUCCAUUUCAGAUGAUAUAUAUAUCAUUGGAAAGCUUAUUCUAUACUCUACAGAAUGGUAGGUCUAUAUAUUGGAAACAAUACAAAGAAAAUUUAUGGAUCGCUCUAAAGCAUAGAACUCAAUACGUUUCUCACGAAAUCUUUACGAAGAAAAUUUUUUAGGGAAUUACAUUAUCUCCCCCUUGGAAACAUUCGUCCUCGAAUAUCGCUUGAUAGGAUAAAAGCACUGAUCAACUACCUUCUUAAGGGACGAGAACAUCUGAGACAUAUCGGCACGAUUGGAAUUACAGUUUCCUAGUCCUCAUACUGAACAUGCAUAUCUGACACAUAAAUAUCUAGCUGAACUUACUCUGGAAUGUAUGAAUGCGUAUGCAACAAUAGUAAAUUCAAGGCUCGUAAUGAGAACUCAAGCAUGAACUAGAUGUAUUUAAAACACAGAAGCUUUAAGAAGUCAUGGGGUAUCUCCCCCUUGGGACUCUAUGUUCCUCUACAACACUUAUUUCACAGGGUCAAUAAGACUGUGCACAAGGCACCUAUGAAUUAGCUCAUAUGCAUGACGCACGAAUAGAGGUAUACUCGUAACUACUGAGAUGCUCCAUAUGGAAAUGAUUUCACUCCUAAGAUCCUUGGAUAACAUGAUGAAAUGAUAAAUGAGAAGGUAUACUAUACGAUUCUGAUUGACUGAGCUGGAAUACUUGGAAAACAAAGAUCGUUUAGUAGAAGUUUAUGAAUUGAAGCAUAACUAGCUUCCAGAAUCUGAAACAUGUACACCACAAUCCCUCAAGAUAACAACUUAAAACUUCAACUAACCAAACUAUACAUGAAAGCUUAAUCUCAAUCUUACUUCACAUUACCACUUAGCUCAAAAUAAGCAUACACUUUUCUAACCAAGAUAAGGAAACAUUUUCUCUCUUCUAUCUAGAUAACUAUUCAACAACACCCUUAUCCACAACAAAUACAUAUUUUUUCAUAUAACCAACCAUUCAUCAUCACUCUCUCACUCUACGAAACAAGUUAUCAAAGGGCUAGAACAUGCUGGUCUAAAAUAUGACUUGAUACGCUGAAUAACUUGACGUUCACCAAGACAUAAGGAAUAGAAGAUUUAACAUCAUCAACUCGGCAAAGAAAUUUGAUUUGGGAAUAUGCACGAUAUGAAUCCAAACUUUUAUUGAUCAUUAACAGAAAUGCUUUAUUUCUCGAAUAGAGCAUAGGGUAAGGCUAGAGUACCUCGAUUACUAGACACAUAACUUAAGAUUUGGAAUUCAUAACUUAUGGAAUUUAAUUCCACCGCCAAAAAAUAUCUGAAACCCCACGUAUUAAGAACUGAGAGAGAACAUGGUCCUUUAUGACAUGCACAGACUCGAAUUAUGAUCAUGGAACUGAAGUGUAAAGCAGGAGUAGGCCAUGGAAUAAUUGAAAGAACUGAAAUAGGAAUGGGUCGAGCAAAACUCCUUUCUCACCACUAUUGGAAUCCGAACACUUAACUCGGUUACUUGAUCUAUCAUAUCCCCCUUAGACAUAAGCCUCCGCUCUGGGUCAGUAACACACUAUACACUUUAAUCUAAACUAAAGUCACUUCACUCGAGAGUCCGAUACAUAAUCACACACACAAACCAUAAAACUUCACCCAAAUGACUACCUCAGAAAGCAUAUAACCAUAUCCUCACACAACUUCUUGAAUUACCACCUAUCCUUCUAUAACCCCAAUAAUCAACACCUAACACUUGCAUACUUUCUAAUCACUAAUCGACAUAAACAACUCAUAGUCGGAGUAUACAACAU